AACGAACGCUGGCGGCAUGCCUAACACAUGCAAGUCGAACGAGACCUUCGGGUCUAGUUGCGCACGGGUGCGUAACGCGUGGGAACCUGCCCUUAGGUUCGGAAUAACUCCCCGAAAGGGGUGCUAAUACCGGAUAAUGUCUUCGGACCAAAGAUUUAUCGCCUUUGGAUGGGCCCGCGUUGGAUUAGCUAUUUGGUAGGGUAAAAGCCUACCAAGGCGACGAUCCAUAGCUGGUCUGAGAGGAUGAUCAGCCACACUGGGACUGAGACACGGCCCAGACUCCUACGGGAGGCAGCAGUGGGGAAUAUUGGCCAAUGGGCGAAAGCCUGAUCCAGCAAUGCCGCGUGAGUGAUGAAGGCCUUAGGGUUGUAAAGCUCUUUUACCCGGGAUGAUAAUGACAGUACCGGGAGAAUAAGCUCCGGCUAACUCCGUG
RNAcentral lists this ribosomal RNA (433 nucleotides) under uncultured bacterium. Its description in RNAcentral is "partial 16S ribosomal RNA". It matches the Rfam family "Bacterial small subunit ribosomal RNA", at positions 29 to 507 of the family's 1533-position model. The record is from RNAcentral.